RNAcentral lists this ribosomal RNA (253 nucleotides) under uncultured bacterium. RNAcentral describes it as "partial 16S ribosomal RNA". It matches the Rfam family "Bacterial small subunit ribosomal RNA", at positions 524 to 776 of the family's 1533-position model. The record is from RNAcentral.
UACAUGGGGUGCAAGCGUUGCUCGGAAUUAUUGGGCGUAAAGCGCGCGUAGGCGGUUACUCAAGUCGGAUGUGAAAGCCCUCGGCUUAACUGAGGAAGUGCACCCGAAACUGAGUAGCUAGAGUACUAAAGAGGGUCGCGGAAUUCCCGGUGUAGAGGUGAAAUUCGUAGAUAUCGGGAGGAACACCGGUGGCGAAGGCGGCGUCCUGGGUAGAGACUGACGCUGAGGCGCGAAAGCGUGGGGAGCAAACAGG